UUUAUAUUUAUAAUAAACUUAAAAAUAGAACAUAUAGCAAACACUAUUAUAUGCAAUGCCUUUUCAAUAGGCAAUGAAGCUAAUUUUCUAAUUUGGUUAUAUUAUUUUACUACCAGAUUCAUUAAUCAGUUAUUUGGUGUUUAACUAGUUUUCUGGCACUUUUGGCUAUUUCGUAACGGUCGGUUUUUAUUGAAACCGGAGUGCCCGGAGUGAUCCGCAGUCCUUUUUGCAUCAACAAUGACAUACUAGUUAACUAAGAUUGCAUUUGAACGCAACUGCAAUGUACGAGUGGAGUUCAAACGCACAAUCUCAAUAAUACUGUAGAUACCCUUCCUAAGCCUCUUAGAAAAAAGGCCCUACAAUUGUAUCAGAACUAUUUUAACUGUUAAAUAACAUAAUACAAACGAAAAUAUGUGAAGUACCCAUCAUUAGCAUGUUCGUUUUCAAUGCAGCAUGCGCAUAAUCGGAAAACCAAAUUCUUCACUAAGUGUUCAUGAAAUUGGUGUCACUUCUCUGUACAUGUUAUGUUUAGAAGUAUUUCUUGUCCUUUUUUAGCACCGACUACUCAUCUUUUGUGGGCUACGGGAUUUGCUUUUCAGUAAAUAAUUCUUUCGACUGUAAUUUUUAAAACAAAUAUCGCCCAAUUACACACCGGGAUUAUAAAAAAUGUUUUAUGUUUUCUCUUUCACAUAUUCACAAUUUUGAAUUGAAACAAUUUCUUUUUGUACUUCCCUACUGAAAGGUUAAUUGUUCUCAAGUUUCAAAAAGGUCACUGAAAAAAGAGCAUGCUCACCGACAAAAGAUGAAUGGACG
This 813-nucleotide long non-coding RNA is filed under the name Mytilus galloprovincialis (Mediterranean mussel). The record is from RNAcentral. Lineage: Eukaryota; Metazoa; Mollusca; Bivalvia; Mytilida; Mytilidae.